GGGCACGUAGCUCAGUUGGUCAGAGCUUCCGGCCCAUAACCGGGCGGUCCCCAGCUCAAGUCUGGGCGUGCCCA
Molecule: transfer RNA, 74 nt
Filed under: Parcubacteria group bacterium ADurb.Bin192
Lineage: Bacteria
Description: tRNA-Met
Source: RNAcentral